AUAAAGUGGAGAGGAAAUAUGGCUAUAAUUAUAAAGUUUUAUAGUUUUUUAAUUAUCUUUCUAUUCCUACCUCUUGUUUUAAUAAAGGUUGAAGCAUUUAGACAUAAAUGCUUACAGCAUACAGAUUGUUACAGAAUUAUGUGUCGACGUCCAGCCAUACCUAAGUGUGAUGUUUCAAAGCAAUCUAAGAACUCCAUCAAUGGAGGAAAAACAAUGAACGAAAAUUGAUAAAGAUGGAGAAGAAAGAGUGAUCUUCAUUAUUUUCUCUAACUGAAAACGGUUACACAGUAUGAUACAUAUAUAGUUAGCUAAUGCCACGUCACUCAAUCUAACUAACUAACUACCAUCAUGCACACGUGAAGAUUAUAUGAUAGUAACCAUGCACACGUGAGGUUUCAUGAUCAGACUAGUUUAUGCAUCUGCCUGUGUUAAUUUGCUCUUUAUUUUCAUCAGUUAUUACCCCCCCACAAGCUUGAGGCUGGUAGAUAUCAACCAAACCAAGCUUGGAGAUACAAUCAAAGAAAGGACGUGGGCCAAGGGACUUUGUGAACACAUCUGCAGCUUGUUGUUGCGAAGUAACCGGGAGUAAACGCAUAAGACCAGCCUGCAGUUUCUCCCUAACCAAGUGACAAUCAAUGUCAAGAUGUUUCGUCCGUUCGUGGAACACGGGAUUGGCAGAGAUAUGUAAAGCACUUUGAUUGUCACAAUAAAGAACAGGCAAACGAGACGGAUGUUGGUGCAAAUCAUGAAGGAGAAAACAUAGCCAUUGGAGUUCGCGAGUUGCUGAAGCAAGUGCACGGUAUUCUGCCUCAGCAGAAGAACAACUAACGGUGGCUUGCUUCUUAGACUUCCAAGACACGAGCGAUUGACCAAUAAAGAAGCAAUAACCUGUAAUAGAGCGUCGUGUGUCAAUGCAGCCUCCCCAAUCAGCAUCACUAAAUCCUAAAAUUUGGAGACUUGAAGCUUUGGGCAAGAAAAUGCCACGUGCAGGUGAUCUUUUGAGAUAACGAAGCACAUGUAGAGCAGCCCGGUAGUGAACUUCAGUAGGAGCACUCAUGAACUGACUCAAUUGCUGAGUGGCAUAAGCAAUAUCAGGUCUGGUUGUAGUGAGAUAGAGCAAUCUUCCAACCAAACGUCUAUAAGCAGUGAUGUCCGUGAAGGCAGAACUGUUGUCUUGAUGAAGACGAGUGGAGGCAUCUAAAGGAGUUGAAGCAGGCUUGCAGCCACUAAGACCUGAAUCAUGGAGUAACUCCAAACAAUAUUUUCUUUGGCAAAGAGUAAUGCCCUUGGAUGAACGUGCAACCUCGAGCCCAAGAAAAAACUUCAGUUGACCUAAGUCCUUGAUGUGAAAUGUGUGGUCCAACGCAGCUUUUAAUUCUUCAAAAACUGUGAGGGAAGUGCCUGCCAAGAUUAUGUCAUCAACGUACACGAGGAGAGCUGUAAAUGAAGUAGGAGAGGAUUUAGUAAAUAACGUGUGAUCUGCAUGGGCAUGAACAAAACCUUGAGCAUGAAGAAACGUUGUUAACUUUUCAAACCAUUGCCGGCUAGCUUGCUUUAAGCCAUAUAACGACUUGAUUAGUCUACACACCUGGCCAGGUUUUGGAGAAGACACACCAUUGGGCACUUUCAUGUAGACUGCCUCAUGUAGGUCACCAUGUAGGAAGGCGUUAUUUACGUCUAGUUGAUGUAAAUGCCACCCGUGAAUGGCAGCUAAGGCUAGGAGCACACGAACAGUUGAAAGUUUGGCUACAGGAGAGAAGGUUUCGAAAUAAUCUAACCCUUCAGUCUGAUUAAAACCUUGAGCCACAAGACGCGCCUUAAACCGUUCAAUAGAACCAUCUGCAUGCCUCUUAAUUUUGAAAACCCACUUGUUUCCAAUGGGAAUAGCAUUAGGUGGCAGAUCCACAAACUCCCAUGUGUUAUUGCUGUUCAGGGCUUCAAUUUCUUUGUCCAUAGCUGCAACCCAGCGAGGAUCCUUAGAAGCAUUGAGAAAAUUUGAAGGUUCAACUUCAGAAGCUAAUGCCAUGAUGUAUGCCUUAUGCUUAGGAGAAAUUCCAGAAUAGGAGAUAGAAUCAGUGAGAGGAUAAGAGCAUGAUGGAGAAGUAUAGGAGUUGCAAACAUAGUCUUUAAGAUGACUAGGAGGCUUUGCAACUCGAAGGGAUUUUCUGGAUGCAAGGUGGGAAGAAGUAUUGGUGGAUGGUGGUGAUGAAGGUUUAGAAAGAGUGGCUAUAUCAUCUGAUGUGAAUGACAAUUCAGAUGAAGAAGAAAUAGGAGAGGUAUUUUGAGGUUCAAUGCUGGAAAGAAGUGGAACCGGAGCAGAUUCCACUAUAGGAGAGACAUCAUUACUAUGAGGAAUGGCCAAGUCACAAACUGAUGGUGAAUAAGUUUGCCCUUGGUCAGAAUAAGUAGUAGAGUGGGAAGAAUUAUGCUCAGGACAAUCAAUACCAUCCUGGUCAAGGUAAAUAUCUGUUGGAACAUCAUCAUUACCAAGAGUUUUGAAUGGAAAUUCAAGGUCAUAGAACUUCACAUUGCGAGACACAAGAAUGUCAUGAUCAAUAACAUCCACAAGUAUAAAACCUUUCAUACCUGGCUUGUAACCCAAGAAAGCACACUUGCGUGCUCUUGCAUCAAAUUUGUGUCGAUUAUUUGGUAAAGUCGAGGCAUAACCCAGGCAACCAAACACCUUUAAAGAACUGAGGUCUGGGGCAGAGCCAUAUAACACCUCAUAAGACGACCUAUUAUUCAGGAUCUUUGUUGGAAUUCUAUUCAUAAGAAAAACUGCAUGAAGAACCGCGUAGGACCAGUAUUCUUUUGCCAAUCCAGAUUGAAACAUGAGUGCACGGCUGAUAUUUAGAAUGUGUUGGUGUCGUCUUUCAACUCUACCAUUUUGUUGUGGAGUGUACACACAACUCUUUUGAUGAAUUAUUCCCUUAGAAGCAUAAUACACGGGCAUGGCCAACUCAACACCAUUGUCACUCCUGACAAUCUUAACUGUGGACUCAUGCUGUGUCUCUACCAUGUUAAUAAAAUCUUUGAUUUUAUGUGAUGCUUCAGACUUAGUUUUAAGCAUUACCACCCACACAUGCCUACUACAGUCAUCAAGAAUAGUUAAGAAAUAUCUAUAACCAUGAACAGAAGGAGUAUUAAAGGGUCCCAAAAUAUCUAAAUGCACAAGUUCAAAAACUUUAUUUGCAUUAUGAUUACUGAUGGGAAAUGGCAGAAUUUUCUGUCUUGCUUGCUGACAAACAUCACAUGCACCAUGAAUACCACUAGGAAUGUAACUGUACAUUUUACUCAUACAACUCAUUCUAUCAAAAGAGAGAUGUCCUAGUCUAAGAUGCCACAAUACACUAGGUGGCACCUUUGUUUCAUUUACAACUUUCUUAUUUACAAACACACUAGAAACAAGACCUACAUCAUUGGUCCUUCUUGCAUCCAAGUGAUAUAGUCCAUUGAGCUCUUUAGCCAAACCAAUCCUCUUCAAAUCCUUCUUUCCCUGUAUCAUACAGCCAUCAGUACUAAAAACAAGAUUACAAUCCUGCUCUCUACAAAGCUUUGACACAGAUAUUAGAUUGACUUCAAAUUGUGGCAAAUAAAGCACAUUUUGAAUAGUAAGCAAUUCUGAAAGUUUCACAUUGCCUGAAACUGAAGCUAUAAUAGAAUUCCCAUUUGGUAAGUUAACAGUGAUAGGACUUAUCUCAGUAUAUGUAUCAAACCAAUCUAUGGAAAAACAAAUGUGAUGAGUAGCUCCAGUAUCGAGUAACCAAUCAUUUUUAUCAUGGCUACUAAAACAGGUUAUAGAAGAAUUACCUCCUCCUUUGGUCAAAUUGAUAGAACCUGUACUCUUCUCCAGCAAAGUCAUUAAGGAUUGAUACUGCUCCUUGGUUAGAGUCAUACUUCCACUCUCACUAGUAGAUCCAACAGAUGACUUUGUCUCUGCUUCUUCACUUUCAACUUGAUUCACAUAAGAGUUUCCUCUACCAUUGUUUGGAGGAUAACCAUGCUUCUUGUAGCAUCCAUCAACAAUGUGGCCAGUUUUGCCACAAUAGGUACAAACCUUGAUAUUUCCUCUUCCUCUUCCUUGGUAUUGGUUACCAUUUCCUCUUCCUCUUCCAUAUUGCUUUUGUCCUUCUACGGCAUUCACUAACCCUGCAUUCUCAUCAGUCACACUCGUGCCUAACACACUUGCUCCAUACUGCAGCUUCCUCUCUUGUUGCAUCACCAAAGAGAAAACUCUGUUUAUAGGGGGCAUAGGAUCCAUCAGCAAUACUUGCGAUGUACACCUUGAUACUCCUCAUUCAAUCCAAUCAGAAAUUGAAUUAUCCUGUCCUCAGAUUUGAAAUUCUUAACAUUUCUCAUAGUUAAGCAUGUGCAUGGAAUACGACAAGUACAAUUUGGAACAGGCCUAUAUUGGUCUAAUUCUUCCCAUAAUCCUCUCAAUUCAGUGAAAUAAUCUGUAAUCUUCUUGUUACCUUGUUUGAGAUUGGAGAUUUCUUGAUGCAAUUGUGCAACUCUAAUGCGAUCUCCUCUCAUGAACCGAUCCUUAAGAUCAUUCCACAUGUCAAUAGCAUUAUCAAUGAACACAACACUCUGAGCUAUUGAAGGCGCAGUUGAAUUAAUGAUCCACGUGUGUACCAAAUUGUUACAUCUCUGCCAUGCUGCAUAAUUGAGAUCACCUUCAUUAGGUACUGGUAUGGAACCAUCAACAAACUUGAAUUUGUUCUUCAUAGCCAACGCUCUCCUCAUCUUCAUUGACCACGCGUGAUAGUUAUCACCAGAUAGAGCUGGUGUAACACAAACUGUAGAUGAAUUCUCCGAUGGAUGAACAUAGUAGGGAUCGAGUUGAUCCACUUGAUUUCCAUUGUUGCUGUUGUUAGUGUUUCUCGCCAUAGCUAUAUGCAGAAAGAUUAACAACGAAACAAAAUGCAGAAGAGAAAGAAAACAAGAAAGACGCGAAUCAAGAAGAAACGAAACGAAAAACGAACGAUCAAGAAUUUGCGAUCGUCAUCAAUCACCAAUCAAUCAAAUCUAGAACUCGUUAACGCAGCGGAAACAGAGCAGGAUCAACCUGCUCUGAUACCAUCAAAGCAAUCUAAGAACUCCAUCAAUGGAGGAAAAACAAUGAACGAAAAUUGAUAAAGAUGGAGAAGAAAGAGUGAUCUUCAUUAUUUUCUCUAACUGAAAACGGUUACACAGUAUGAUACAUAUAUAGUUAGCUAAUGCCACGUCACUCAAUCUAACUAACUAACUACCAUCAUGCACACGUGAAGAUUAUAUGAUAGUAACCAUGCACACGUGAGGUUUCAUGAUCAGACUAGUUUAUGCAUCUGCCUGUGUUAAUUUGCUCUUUAUUUUCAUCAGUUAUUAAUGUUCUCAGAGGAUUUUGUAAAUGUUUUUAGUCAUUCUUAAGUCAACAUUACUUCAAGAAUCUAGUAGCUAUGGAUUUGUACUCUAAGAUGAUGGUUAAUAUUUUUAUUACUUAAGAUGAAAUAUAAUUUCUAUCUUGCCUCUAAGCCUAUAAUUAUAUAUUUAUGCUAAUAUAUAUUACACUUAAAAUAUCUUGUUCAGUUUUAAAAGAGAUAUAGAAAAGUAAAACGUCACUACAAAACUAUAAAUAUACUACAACAAUUGUGAAUAUAUGUUGAUUUGAAAAUAGAAA
Molecule: long non-coding RNA, 5659 nt
Organism: Vicia villosa (hairy vetch)
Lineage: Eukaryota; Viridiplantae; Streptophyta; Magnoliopsida; Fabales; Fabaceae
Exons: 2
Source: RefSeq, a predicted model, not a curated record